Molecule: ribosomal RNA, 777 nt
Filed under: uncultured Neocallimastigales
Lineage: Eukaryota; Fungi; Neocallimastigomycota; Neocallimastigomycetes; Neocallimastigales
Description: partial large subunit ribosomal RNA
Rfam family: Eukaryotic large subunit ribosomal RNA
Source: RNAcentral
CGUAGUCUCGCACAGAUGCAUAUCAAUAAGCGGAGGAAAAGAAACUAACAAGGAUUCCCCUAGUAACGGCGAGUGAAGCGGGAAGAGCUCAAAUUUGAAAUCUUAAAGGGUUUCCCUUUACGAAUUGUAGUUUAAAGAAGUGUUUUCUGUUGAGGUUUUGGUAAAAGUUCUUUGGAAUAGGACAUCAUAGAGGGUGAGAAUCCCGUAUUUGACCUUUACUUUCAACUUUGUGAUACACUUUCAAAGAGUCGGAUUGUUUGGGAAUGCAGUCCAAAAUGGGUGGUAAAUUUCAUCUAAAGCUAAAUAUUGGCGAGAUGACCGAUAGCGAACAAGCUACCGUGAGGGAAAGAUGAAAAGAACUUUGAAAAGAGAGUUAAACAGUACGUGAAAUUGUCAAAAGGGAAGCGUUUGACACCAGUGUUGUUUUUCUGAAAAUCAAUUAAAGAACUGUUUAUGCUAAGCUGUUUAGACUUUAUCAGCUAACUGUUUAGUUUUGAGCUUUUCUUUAAUGCACUUUUCAGUUAACAAGUCAACAUCAAUUUCUUUUGCUGUAAAAAAGCUUGAGGAAGGUGGCUUGAGAUUCGUCUUAAGUGUUUAUAGCCUCUUGCCUAUGCAGUCGGAGAGAUUGAGGUCUGCAGCGUAGAUCCUUCGGGGCUAAAUGCAUUUGUGCUAAGUUAUAGCAUUUUAUAGACAACUUGUUGACUAUGAUUUGUCUUGUAGCUUACUCGCUUAUGUUAUUUUACCUACGCUUAGGAUGUUGACGCAUGAGAUAUACGC